This is a long non-coding RNA of Homo sapiens (human), 626 nucleotides long. The record is from Ensembl. Lineage: Eukaryota; Metazoa; Chordata; Mammalia; Primates; Hominidae.
AGAUGAACACACUGGACUUAUAUACAGCUGGACAUGAAAGUAACCAAUUUAAGUGCCUUUUCCUUCAACAAUUUUAACUUCAGUUGCUUAAGGAUGAUCGAGCCACCGAUGUCAACAAAAUAUCCUUUACCUUUAAAUAGUUUUUCUUUAAUUAAGUUUAAAGAAAACCUAUUUAACGAGUGAUAUUACCGGGAAAGUUCACACAGAAACAGAAAGAGGCAAUAUUGUCCUGAAAAUUCACCUACUGUAUGUAUUUAAGGAAUUAGCUUAAGAUGUAAUUUUUGUCCUCAAAAAUAGCCAUUAGUUCUCAAAACUUUCCCUUCCAGAGACAUCUCUCAGGAAUCUAAAAACAAACAAGCAAACAAACAAAAAGACACAAGCUAGACAUAAAGCUGCUUCUAGUUAAUAUACGGCCUAGUCUCUGUGUGUAUCUACAGGACGCUAACUCUCACCCUUUGUCUUUUGCAGGAACCAAUUUUCCAUUAAAUACUAAAGGGGACAUUUAAAAAAUCACAUAGUACACAAAUGAAUAAAACGCAGUUCAGAAUUUUAUCUUUGUUAAACUGUCACUGUUAUCUCAUUGUUCUGUUAACUUUUCAAAUAACUCUCUUGGAAACAAAAAAAAC